GUUGUGAAAAAGCAAAGAAGCCCCGGAGAUGGAAUUCCUGAGACAUGAAUCCCAGGCCCUAACGGGGCGCAGCAAGCGCCAGAAAAACUUAAUAACAAAUGCAGGAAAACUGUGAAUAAGGAAACACCGAAGUGGCUCACAUAUGAUGUGAGCUGUCUAUAUAUUUAAAUCAUAUAUAAUAAGCAAGGGCCGGGCAAUACCGGUGCCAAGCCGCCGCGGUAAAUACUGGUGGCCCGAGUGGUAACCACUUUUAUUUGGUCUAAAGGGUUCGUAGCCGGUUUAAAAAAGUCUAUUGGAAAAUUCAAAUGCUUAACAUUUGAUCGUCCUAUAGAUACUGUUAAACUUGGGAUCGGGUGAGGUAAGAGGUACUAUAAGGGUAGGAGUGAAAUCUUAUAAUCCUUAUGAGACCACCUGUGGCGAAGGCGUCUUACUAGAACGAGUCCGACGGUGAGGAACGAAAGCUAGGGGCACAAACCGGAUUAGAAUACCCCGGGUAGUCCCAGGCCGUAAACAAAUGCUUGCCUAGGGUGUUAAGAUAUUAGCCAUGACCUGGUAUUCUGAAUGCCUGGUAGGGGAAGGCCCAUGAAAGCCAAGCCACCCUGGGGAAAGUUACCGGUCCGCCAAGGGCUGAAAACCCUUAAAGGGAAAUU
RNAcentral lists this ribosomal RNA (650 nucleotides) under uncultured methanogenic archaeon. Its description in RNAcentral is "bacterial SSU rRNA". It matches the Rfam family "Archaeal small subunit ribosomal RNA", at positions 273 to 828 of the family's 1478-position model. The record is from RNAcentral. Lineage: Archaea; Methanobacteriati; Methanobacteriota.